Molecule: ribosomal RNA, 301 nt
Filed under: uncultured bacterium
Lineage: Bacteria
Description: partial 16S ribosomal RNA
Rfam family: Bacterial small subunit ribosomal RNA
Source: RNAcentral
CAGCAGCCGCGGUAACACGUAGGUGGCAAGCGUUGUCCGGAAUUAUUGGGCGUAAAGCGCGCGCAGGCGGUUUCUUAAGUCUGAUGUGAAAGCCCCCGGCUUAACCGGGGAGGGUCAUUGGAAACUGGGAGACUUAGAGUGCAGAAGAGGAGAGUGGAAUUCCAUGUGUAGCGGUGAAAUGCGUAGAGAUGUGGAGGAACACCAGUGGCGAAGGCGACUCUCUGGUCUGUAACUGACGCUGAGGAGCGAAAGCGUGGGGAGCGAACAGGAUUAGAUACCCCUGUAGUCCCUGUCUCUUAUA